This 310-nucleotide ribosomal RNA is filed under the name uncultured bacterium. Its description in RNAcentral is "bacterial SSU rRNA". It matches the Rfam family "Bacterial small subunit ribosomal RNA", at positions 29 to 320 of the family's 1533-position model. The record is from RNAcentral.
AACGAACGCUGGCGGCGUGGAUUAGGCAUGCAAGUCGAACGCGAAAGAGGGGGGAAACCCCUCAAGUAGAGUGGCGAACGGGUGAGUAACGCGUGAAGAACCUGCCUUCAACAGGGGGAUAACACUCCCAACGGGGUGCUAAUACCGCAUGAGACCACGGAGCUGCAUAGCUCUGAGGUCAAAGGUGGCCUCUAUUUAUAAGCUACCGGUUGAAGAUGGCUUCGCGUCCCAUAGCUAGUUGGCGGUGUAACGGACCACCAAGGCGACGAUGGGUAGCUGGUCUGAGAGGAUGGUCAGCCACACUGGGACU